AAUCAACGCUGGCGGCGUGCCUCAGACAUGCAAGUCGAACGCGAAAGUUUCCUUCGGGGAACAAGUAGAGUGGCGCACGGGUGAGUAACACGUAGGUAAUCUACCUUUGGAUGGGGAAUAACAACCGGAAACGGUUGCUAAUACCGCAUAAUGCAGCGGCACCUAAUGGUGACAGUUGUUAAAGCGGGGGAUCGAAAGACCUCGCGUCUGAAGAGGAGCCUGCGGCGGAUUAGCUAGUGGUAAGGUAAUGGCUUACCAAGGCUACGAUCCGUAACCGGCCUGAGAGGGCGGUCGGUCACACUGACACUGACAUACGGGUCAGACUCCUACGGGAGGCAGCAGUCGGGAAUUUUGGGCAAUGGGCGAAAGCCUGACCCAGCAACGCCGCGUGAAGGAUGAAAUCCCUCGGGAUGUAAACUUCGCAAGAACGGGAAGAAUAAGUAGGGACAAUACCCCCUAUGAUGACGGUACCGUUAGUAAGCUCCGGCUAACUCCGUGCCAGCAGCCGCGGUAAG
RNAcentral lists this ribosomal RNA (515 nucleotides) under uncultured bacterium. RNAcentral describes it as "bacterial SSU rRNA". It matches the Rfam family "Bacterial small subunit ribosomal RNA", at positions 32 to 524 of the family's 1533-position model. The record is from RNAcentral.